AGAGUUUGAUCCUGGCUCAGAUUGAACGCUGGCGGUAUGCUUUACACAUGCAAGUCGAACGGCAGCACGGGGCAACCUGGUGGCGAGUGGCGAACGGGUGAGUAACAUAUCGGAACAUGUCCGGAAGUGGGGGAUAACGUACCGAAAGGUACGCUAAUACCGCAUAUGCCCUGAGGGGGAAAGGGGGGGAUCGCAAGACCUCUCGCUUUCGGAGUGGCCGAUAUCGGAUUAGCUAGUUGGUGGGGUAAAGGCCCACCAAGGCGACGAUCCGUAGCUGGUCUGAGAGGACGACCAGCCACACUGGAACUGAGACACGGUCCAGACUCCUACGGGAGGCAGCAGUGGGGAAUUUUGGACAAUGGGCGCAAGCCUGAUCCAGCCAUACCGCGUGAGUGAAAAAGGCCUUCGGGUUGUAAAGCUCUUUCAGCCGGAAAGAAAUCGUGCAGAUUAACACUCUGUAUGGAUGACGGUACCGGAAGAAGAAGCACCGGCUAACUACGUGCCAGCAGCCGCGGUAAUACGUAGGGUGCGAGCGUUAAUCGGAAUUACUGGGCGUAAAGCGUGCGCAGGCGGUUUUGUAAGACAGACGUGAAAUCCCCGGGCUUAACCUGGGAACUGCGUUUGUGACUGCAAGGCUAGAGUGUAGCAGAGGGGGGUAGAAUUCCACGUGUAGCAGUGAAAUGCGUAGAUAUGUGGAGGAAUACCGAUGGCGAAGGCAGCCCCCUGGGCUAACACUGACGCUCAUGCACGAAAGCGUGGGGAGCAAACAGGAUUAGAUACCCUGGUAGUCC
RNAcentral lists this ribosomal RNA (791 nucleotides) under uncultured bacterium. RNAcentral describes it as "bacterial SSU rRNA". It matches the Rfam family "Bacterial small subunit ribosomal RNA", at positions 8 to 796 of the family's 1533-position model. The record is from RNAcentral.